GAUGAACGCUGGCGGCGUGCCUUAAUACAUGCAAGUCGAACGCUGGAGAUCUAGCUUGCUAGAUCGAAGGAGUGGCGAACGGGUGAGUAAUACAUAAGCAACCUACCCACGAAGACUGGGAUAAUCUCUGGAAACGGGGACUAAUACCGGAUAGGUAAUCGGAAGGCAUCUUCUGGUUAUUAAAGGUUAAAAACACUGGUGGAUGGGCUUAUGGCGCAGUAGUUAGUUGGUGAGGUAACGGCCCACCAAGACGAUGAUGCGUAGCCGGCCUGAGAGGGUGAACGGCCACAUUGGGACUGAGACACGGCCCAGACUCCUACGGGAGGCAGCAGUAGGGAAUUUUCGGCAAUGGGGGAAACCCUGACCGAGCAACGCCGCGUGAGUGAUGACGGCCUUCGGGUUGUAAAGCUCUGUUGUAAGGGAAGAACGGUAGAUAGAGAAUAUCUAAGUGACGGUACCUUACCAGAAAGCCCGGCU
RNAcentral lists this ribosomal RNA (477 nucleotides) under Solobacterium sp. oral taxon A05. RNAcentral describes it as "bacterial SSU rRNA". It matches the Rfam family "Bacterial small subunit ribosomal RNA", at positions 28 to 498 of the family's 1533-position model. Lineage: Bacteria; Bacillati; Bacillota; Erysipelotrichia; Erysipelotrichales; Erysipelotrichaceae. The record is from RNAcentral.